Molecule: long non-coding RNA, 1238 nt
Organism: Passer domesticus (house sparrow)
Lineage: Eukaryota; Metazoa; Chordata; Aves; Passeriformes; Passeridae
Exons: 3
Source: RefSeq, a predicted model, not a curated record
UCUGAAACAGGGACCCGGGACAGUGCUGACCCAUGGGACGCCUGUGAUGCCAAAGUGGUGAGCCCAGAGAAGGGGAACCUGUGGGAUUGCCAGGAGCCCCAGCAGCCCAGAGAGGGGAACACCAAUACAAACCUGACCCGCAGCAGCCCAGACAGGGGGGCCUCCAGGAGCCGAAAGAGAGACCAGAGAGGGGAAAUCCAGGGUUGGGUGUUUUUGCUGAAUCUUGGUCAUUUCUGUAUUUUGGGGGACUAAAUCUCAGUGUUUUGGGGGUUUACACGGGCACCAGAUUCCCAGUGACUUCUAGAGUGUGGAGGCACAGGUGCCCAACAUUGGAACUGCAAUACCUCAAGGCAAAGGUGACCAGGGUCAGAGAGAGACACCCCUCUGAGGACAAUGGUCUCACCAUCAGCAUUUGCAGGCUCAUGUGAAUGCAGCAGGCUUCAUUGGUAUCACCCAGUCCAGCUGCCCUUUUUUCCUUAUAUGUACUUCCCCUAGAAUGUUCUCCCCUCUCUUGUCCCCCAUUGGUCCCGGUUUACUGCAAUGCUCUGCCCCUGUUACCUCAUUGGUUCCCCAGUUGGCUGCCCCUCCUCUGCACCACCUGUGCUCAGUUCCCAUUGGCCCUUGGCCCUGAGACCCGCCCCUUUCCCCCCUUAUCAAACCCUGUGUCCCCAGCCCCAUUUUGUCUCUGUCUCUGGACCCUCUGCAUUGCAAUAAACUGCAUUUGGAGCUGUGCACACAGACCCGUCUCUGGCCUUGUCCAUCAGCAGGUUAAGCAAGCGUGCUCCAGGCCCUUGGAGUGCAGGAUUUCUCAUUCCCAAACUGGCUGGAUGGAGGAGGAGGCUGUGAGGAAGAGGAAGAUUCCCCGGGACAUGCAGGCAGACCUUGGAGAGAAUCCAAAAACCUCUCAAGAUAGUGUUUGGAGGCCUCAUCCCCUAACCAGCAGGGAGAGGCAGCAGACUCUGGGCUCAGUGGUGUGGAGACUGAGGACAGAAUAAGAGUACCCGGGGAGGGAUUAAAGGGUGGUUUCACACAUCCUGGAGUUUUUCUUUAUUGUAUAAAACAGCCAGAGAAAGAGAUAAUGGCACCAAGGGCAGCUUGGGAAGACCAGACUGGACACCAGGAGAAAGGAAUUUCCCUCCCAGGGCAGGGCUGUGGUGCAACACAUCCCCCAGGAGGAGCCCGGAGCAGCCCAAGGCUUUGUGUGGGCAGGCAGAGGCAGGCAGGAGGCAGAGCUGUCA